This 505-nucleotide ribosomal RNA is filed under the name Kurthia sp. CL1.69. RNAcentral describes it as "bacterial SSU rRNA". It matches the Rfam family "Bacterial small subunit ribosomal RNA", at positions 17 to 503 of the family's 1533-position model. Lineage: Bacteria; Bacillati; Bacillota; Bacilli; Caryophanales; Caryophanaceae. The record is from RNAcentral.
CCCUGGCUCAGGACGAACGCUGGCGGCGUGCCUAAUACAUGCAAGUCGAGCGAAUGAUGAAGAAGCUUGCUUCUUCUGAUUUAGCGGCGGACGGGUGAGUAACACGUGGGCAACCUACCUAGUAGAUUGGGAUAACUCCGGGAAACCGGGGCUAAUACCGAAUAAUCCAUUUUGUCACAUGGCAAAAUGCUGAAAGGCGGUUUCGGCUGUCACUACUAGAUGGGCCCGCGGUGCAUUAGCUAGUUGGUGGGGUAAUGGCCUACCAAGGCAACGAUGCAUAGCCGACCUGAGAGGGUGAUCGGCCACAUUGGGACUGAGACACGGCCCAAACUCCUACGGGAGGCAGCAGUAGGGAAUCUUCCACAAUGGACGAAAGUCUGAUGGAGCAACGCCGCGUGAGUGAUGAAGGUUUUCGGAUCGUAAAACUCUGUUGUAAGGGAAGAACAAGUACGUUAGUAACUGAACGUACCUUGACGGUACCUUAUUAGAAAGCCACGGCUAACUA